AAAAUAAAUGGUGAUGACGUUCGCCGUAACUAAUUGACUAUCAAUUUGAUGACGUCUACUUUCAA
RNAcentral lists this non-coding RNA (65 nucleotides) under Lactiplantibacillus plantarum. RNAcentral's name for it is "Lactobacillus plantarum crcB". It matches the Rfam family "Fluoride riboswitch aptamer (crcB RNA motif)". The record is from RNAcentral. Lineage: Bacteria; Bacillati; Bacillota; Bacilli; Lactobacillales; Lactobacillaceae.